RNAcentral lists this ribosomal RNA (253 nucleotides) under uncultured bacterium. RNAcentral's name for it is "partial 16S ribosomal RNA". It matches the Rfam family "Bacterial small subunit ribosomal RNA", at positions 524 to 776 of the family's 1533-position model. The record is from RNAcentral.
UACGUAGGGUGCAAGCGUUAGUCGGAAUUACUGGGCGUAAAGCGUGCGCAGGCGGUUGUGCAAGACAGAUGUGAAAUCCCCGGGCUUAACCUGGGAACUGCAUUUGUGACUGCACGGCUAGAGUGUGUCAGAGGGGGGUAGAAUUCCACGUGUAGCAGUGAAAUGCGUAGAGAUGUGGAGGAACACCGAUGGCGAAGGCAGCCUCCUGGGCCAGCACUGACGCUCAUGCACGAAAGCGUGGGGAGCAAACAGG